GUAGAACUUAACUGAGUACAAAUGGCCAAUGCAAAAGCAAAAGAAGUUUUGCUGCAGAAGUUUCUCAUUCCUACCGCUGCAGCUCUCUGUGUUACUGCAACCAAAGUUUGUGGGAGUCUCUCAGUGAACAAAAGCUCACCCCUCAGUCUUCCCCCUUCAGGCUGUAGACAGACUCAGCCAAAAUUUGUGUUAGACCUUUCCCAAAGUGCCUGAAGUCAUGGCCUCAUUGCCAAAAGCCCUAGAUCACCACUGGCAAAUGUGAAGUCUUCCCAAUUUUUAUUUUUUAAAUGGAGCCUAGAAUGAGGCAGGUCCCUAAUUCAGGUGUAUCAUUAGAAGAUCAGUGUUAGGUCAGAUGAAUUGGAGCCUCAUUCUUCAAAUGCACAGAACCACCAACGUCUACCAGCACCAACUUGUAUUAUUUAUCCUUCCCAUACCUGAUUCCUGACAUGUGGGUAUCAGGGAACGAGGAGUACUACACAGAGCCCUGGUCAAGGAGGUCACUCUGGGCUGGCCAGGGACAGUGUGAAUCAAUGCCAGUGGCAAACAGAGCGGUUCUUGGCAGUUCGUGCCUAAAAUAGGCAGUUCUUUCCUAAAAUAGUUCUGUUCUCCACAAUUACUGACUUUUUUUUCCUUUUGGCUUAGUUAAGAAAAAAGAUUGUUAAGUUAAAGCAAGAGGAAAGGAGCAGACCCUUCUUGUAACAAAGCUGUAAAACUUCACAUCCUUCCCUUGGAUCUACAACAGGCUGAAAACUAGACUGGAUGCCCACAGUCCUACAGAUGUAACUGACUGUGUUUAAUCAGGAAUUAAAUGAAAAAAUGACAAAGGUGACUUUGAAGACUGGGAGUCUUGAAGUCUCUGUUCAUGCAUCAUUCAGUGCUCCAAUAGUAUAUAUCUCUUUUUUUUUUUUUCCCUGCAUUAAUAGUUGCUAGUUUCCUUGUGCAAGAUUUACAGGAAUUUGGUAUUUAUUUAUCCAAAAGAUGAGAUCUAUACCAAAAAUACAGAAAUAAAGCCCAGAGUGCAAUGCCUUCUGAACUGGUGGAACUGCAGCAUCCCUGGGCUGUUUAGAGAGUAGGACUGCAACCUGCAGAAAGCAGGCAGAACUGAAGACAUGGGCUAGAGUUCACAACAGGGGGUGAGCAUCACUCCCAACAACAAAAUACACUCCAAAUGUUCUAUUACUAGCACAGAAAAAAAUGCUUAACAUAAGAUUUACCCACUCACUUACCACUUGCUCCGUGAUAUCUUAAUAAGCCAAAUUCAGUAUUGCUAAUGAUCUCAGCAUUGCUAACAUAGAAAUGAUCAUUUAAAGGACUGGAAAGUGAAGAUCAGCUCAGAUCCCACCUGACACUCCAGUGAGGCACUUCAUCUCUGUGUGCGUUGUCUCAUCUUGUGACAUUAGAUUGUAAGUCCCCAGGACAGUGUUCCUUGUUUGGGAUCAGUCAGCAGGACUAUGUAAAAUCAUACACCACAAAUAAAGAUAAAUUCACAUCCCACAAAUAAAGGAGAAUGUUGCCUGCACUGCACUGACAAACUUAAAAUGGUCAGUUUGGCUUAAUAAUUAUUAAAAAUAAAACCAGAACUUCCUCCCUU
Molecule: long non-coding RNA, 1591 nt
Organism: Gallus gallus (chicken)
Lineage: Eukaryota; Metazoa; Chordata; Aves; Galliformes; Phasianidae
Source: Ensembl